AAAUGGCUCUCUGAAGUCCAAGUUCUCGCAUGACAUUCUAACUCAAUUUUUUUUUUUUUUGAUAAUAGGUUACUUUUAUGGUACUAAUCUACAUGACACCAAACAGUUCCUUGAUUAGUUAACAAGCCAGUUGUCUUUUUUCUGGCUAUAUCAGCAUGUUCUUACAAGUGAAGAGGAACUGUAACCUACAUAAAACCAAGGAUAAGAAUAUUAAACAGUAGCAUAAUGAGAGAAAUUUGUCUAAAAGAUGUUUAAUUCUAUGCAUCCCAGGAGGAUAUAAAAAGAGACUCUCCUCGCCAAAAAGAAUUAAACACAUUCUCAUUCUCAUGGUGUAUGUAACAUGUUAUAAUGAUUACAUUAAAAAAGAUAAUUGAUCAGAUAUUUAAUAAAAUUUAGUAGAAAACUCACAAUCACCAACCAAUAUGACUAUUUGUUUUCCAUUUUUCUAGAUAUGAUUUAUGGGAGGUGAAAUAUUUCCUGAUAUAAGAAGAAAAUCUAGAAGUGAGGUCACUACCUACAAAGAGAUUUACAAAAGCUUGAAGAAAAAUUACUCUAAAGAUAGCCUUGGUGAAUCGACAGUUAUGUGUUUGUGGAAUCUAAGACAAUCAAACUUAUAGAAGAUAAAGUAGAAUGAUGGCUACAAGAGGCUGGGGAGUGGGAAGUACAGUGUCAAGUGCACAACAUUCCAGUUAAACAGGAGGAAUAAAUGAUAAAUAUUUGAAAUGGUGAAUACAUUAAUUGGCUUGACUCAAUCAUUCCACAUUGUGUGCAUAGAUAUCAUGGCAUCACUUCGUGCCUCAUAAGUAUAUGCAAAUAUAAUUUGUCCAUAUUUAAUAAAAUACAAUUUUAAAAAAGAACGAAGAGUCAGCAUAUCUUUUGAUGCUCAGCAAACCUCACAUCAUUGCCUUUUCUCUUACCUUUUGGUAUAUUUUGAUACAAAAUUACAACAUUUUACAAGGGAAAAGAAAGUUAAAAAUUACUAGUCUAAGCCAUUCUUUUUAGAAAUGAGGGCACUAACUUAAUGCUCCAUAACUUGCUGGCAGUCAGAGGUAGGAAGUGGCAGAUAACAGGUCUCUGCAGAACUAUUUCCAGAACAACACAUCUUUGUAAUUUACAUUUACCUUUUUAAAGAGGCUUAUUGCCUUUUCCUAGUCACGCAUGUUAUUUUAAAGUUUCACCACAAUGCCGACAAUAGUUGUACACAGGGAAGCAACUGCCACAGUUUUCACAGAAUCUAGCGUAGAACCAGCAACGGCGUAGUUGAAAUAAACAAACUUCAGUUACCUUCUAAGCUUCAGAUACAACCUGUAUGAGUUAUGUGUAUGUGAACAUGUAUUAUUUCCUUGAAAGAGUUAUUAUUUAUAUCUGCAAAGAAAAAGUAUAACUUGGAUAUUUUCUAUACAGUAGUAAAAUGAGAAUUUUUAAAGAUUGCUUUAACAUUUUAUGCCAUGUGCUCUUAAAUACAAGAAUAUUAUAUUCAUGAUGUGCUAGUUUUAAAAAGAUGUUUCUUUGCCUGUCGUUAGAUAGAAGAAAAAUUUAUUUAUUUUUUUAAUUUUUUUGAGACGGAGUUUUGCUCUUGUUGCCCAGGCUGGUCUGCAGUGGCGUGAACUCGGUUCACUGCAGCCUCCGCCUCCCAGGUUCACGUGAUUUUCCUGCCUCAGCCUCCGUAGUAGCUGGGAUUACAGUCAUGCACCACCAUUCCUGGCUAAUAUUGUAUUUUUAGUAGAGAGAUGAGCUUUCUCCGUGUUGGUCAGGCUGGUCUUAAACUCCUGACCUCAGGUGAUCCGCCUGCCUCAGCCGCCCAAAGUGCUGGGAUUACAGGCGUGUGCCGCUGCCCCUGGCCGAACUUGAUUCUUCUUAAGCCAAAAGAAGUAAACAAAGAAACAUAGACCUUGUAGGAAGUCUCCAAGAUGGCCUCCAAUGAUCUUGACCUCCAGGUAUUCUUUCCUUUAUGUAAUUGUUUCCUGUUAAAUGUGG
RNAcentral lists this long non-coding RNA (1977 nucleotides) under Papio anubis (olive baboon). RNAcentral's name for it is "lncRNA (ENSPANG00000050189.1)". Lineage: Eukaryota; Metazoa; Chordata; Mammalia; Primates; Cercopithecidae. The record is from RNAcentral.